GAUGAAGAACGUAGCGAAAUGCGAUACUUGGUGUGAAUUGCAGAAUCCCGUGAACCAUCGAGUCUUUGAACGCAAGUUGCGCCCGAAGCCACUAGGCCGAGGGCACGCCUGCUUGGGCGUCACACGCCGUUGCCCCCCCAUCUACUCCUUCGGGAUUGCGGGGGGGCGGAUGAUGGCCUCCUGUGCGCCUAGCCGCGCGGUUGGCAUAAAUACCAAGUCCUCGGCGACGCACGCCACGACAAUCGGUGGUUGCGAAACCUCGGUUGCCCGUCGUGUGCGUUCGUCGCGCAUCAAGGGCUCGAAAAAAUGCUCGGCUCCGGCUGGGCUUUCAACGCGACCCCAGGUCAGGCGGGGUUACCCGCUGAAUUUAAGCAUAUCAAUAAGCGGAGGA
RNAcentral lists this unclassified non-coding RNA (391 nucleotides) under soil metagenome. RNAcentral describes it as "partial contains 5.8S ribosomal RNA, internal transcribed spacer 2, and large subunit ribosomal RNA". The stretch from base 1 to 122 matches the Rfam family "5.8S ribosomal RNA", at positions 35 to 154 of the family's 154-position model. The record is from RNAcentral.